UAAGUUUACCCUAAUUUUUUUUCCAGCCGCAUUCCCAUUCUCUCAUCUCUGUGUUCUUAAUUUUCUUUGCAACCCUAAUUUUUUCUUCUCUUAUCUCUUCGUAGAUCAGCACCACCACUAUCAGUCUCCGGCCGCCAUCACUCCUUUGCCCCCACCACCACCACUUCAUCGCCACCACUCCGGCUGCCAUUAAGGGGCGAGAUCACCACCUGAAGUCGGCGGUUUCUUUAAAAACACGACUAUGAUGCUUGAGGGCCAUCACCCUCAUCGUUGGAAAGCAAUGAAACCCUCUCUCGGGCAAAACAUUGGAUUUUCGUUUACCUAAACGGGAGACCAACAAGAAUGGCCACAUGACAGGUCACCUUCAAUCCUCUUGCUUUUUCCAACCAAAGAGUUAGCAACAGGUAGUCAGGUUAAUUCAUGGUCCUAAGAAUAUCACCUUUCUGAACCACCUUGAUGUUUCACAAGACAACUACACCAUCAAAGUUCGCAUUAAAAAUAAAAACAAUGCUGUUUACAAAGAGAUAUUUUCAAAUUUGUAGUUUUUGUUUUGUAUUUUUUUCCCUUAUUGUCAAUGAUAUCUUAUCGUAUAUAACUAUGGAUUGAUAAUCAAUUUGCUUCAAGUUUAUUGUUUUCAUA
Molecule: long non-coding RNA, 639 nt
Organism: Helianthus annuus (common sunflower)
Lineage: Eukaryota; Viridiplantae; Streptophyta; Magnoliopsida; Asterales; Asteraceae
Exons: 4
Source: RefSeq, a predicted model, not a curated record